This 246-nucleotide long non-coding RNA is filed under the name Amborella trichopoda. Its description in RNAcentral is "long non-coding RNA (ATRI_LNC001511)". Lineage: Eukaryota; Viridiplantae; Streptophyta; Magnoliopsida; Amborellales; Amborellaceae. The record is from RNAcentral.
ACUCUCUCUCUCUCUCUCUCUCUCUCUCUCUCUCUCUCUCUCUCUACUGGUACUACUGCUACCAUGAAUGACUCUCUUCACUGUCUCUCUCUGUCUCUUGUACCAAAUCCACAAAACAAGGAUGACAUUGCUAAGACAUUUAAAGUUCAAAUUUUUCUCUAUCUUCCCCUUUCUCUCUCUUAAAUCUCUCUCUCUCUCUCUCUCUCUCUAAAAAUGGUUACAAACCUAUAAAACCCUUUUCUCGUG